GUUCGGGGGACAGGGUGACAAGUGGUGCAUGGUUGUCGUCAGCUCGUGUCGUGAGAUGUUGGGUUAAGUCCCGCAACGAGCGCAACCCUCGACCUUAGUUGCCAGCAUUCAGUUGGGCACUCUAAGGUGACUGCCGGCUAAAAGUCGGAGGAAGGUGGGGAUGACGUCAAAUCAUCAUGCCCCUUAUGACCUGGGCUACACACGUGCUACAAUGGGCGGUACAAAGGGUCGCGAAACCCGCGAGGGGGAGCCAAUCCCAAAAAGCCGACUCUCAGUUCGGAUUGCAGGCUGCAACUCGCCUGCAUGAAGCCGGAAUCGCUAGUAAUACGCGGAUCAGCAUGCCGCGGUGAAUACGUUCCCGGGCCUU
This 367-nucleotide ribosomal RNA is filed under the name uncultured Anoxybacillus sp. Its description in RNAcentral is "bacterial SSU rRNA". It matches the Rfam family "Bacterial small subunit ribosomal RNA", at positions 1018 to 1382 of the family's 1533-position model. Lineage: Bacteria; Bacillati; Bacillota; Bacilli; Caryophanales; Anoxybacillaceae. The record is from RNAcentral.